This 253-nucleotide ribosomal RNA is filed under the name uncultured prokaryote. Its description in RNAcentral is "partial 16S ribosomal RNA". It matches the Rfam family "Bacterial small subunit ribosomal RNA", at positions 524 to 776 of the family's 1533-position model. The record is from RNAcentral.
UACAGAGGUCCCGAGCGUUGUUCGGAUUCACUGGGCGUAAAGGGUGCGCAGGUGGGUUGGCAAGUUUGAUGUGAAAGCCCCGGGCUUAACCCGGGAAUGGCAUUGAAUACUGCUGAUCUGGAGGAUCGGAGGGGGACAGAGAAUUCCCGGUGUAGGGGUGAAAUUCGUAGAUAUCGGGAGGAAUACCAGUGGCGAAGGCGCUGUCCUGGACGAAGAUUGACGCUGAGGUGCGAAAGCGCGGGGAGCAAACAGG